This 2246-nucleotide long non-coding RNA is filed under the name Citrus sinensis (sweet orange). RNAcentral's name for it is "long non-coding RNA (CSIN_LNC001592)". Lineage: Eukaryota; Viridiplantae; Streptophyta; Magnoliopsida; Sapindales; Rutaceae. The record is from RNAcentral.
UUAUCAAGUUCGUUCUUUUCCAAUUUAAAAAUUAAACAAUAAUUAAUUAUGAAUACAUUAAUCAAUAUGGUCAUUCUCAUCAUGGCUUGAAAUCUUCUACUUGAAACAAAUAAGCUUGUCUACAUUUCCCAAAUGGCUCAAACAAAAAGAUUUGAAUUGUAUAUAUUUCACAUGAAGGAUUGACGCUGCCAUCAGUGAUAUUUAAGGCUUUGAAGUUAUGAACAAGUUAUAGCAGCAAAGAUUGAGAAAGUACCCACCAUAUGACAUAUUCGGAUCAUGGGAGUUGUAGGUAUUUAGUUGGUGGACAGAGCUAUAAUCUCUACUGUCAGCAGAUUCUGGCUGUUCUGUGACAUCUUUUGCUGGUCCAAUGAUGGCUGCAUCCGGAGAAGGAUUUGCUGAAACAAUCCUUUCAUCUUUGGGCGAAAGUAGCUGAUAAUAGAUUUCAAAAUGAAGAGCUAUUGCAACAAUUCACCUAAUCUUACCAAAAUAUAGAAAUUAAUGUAGCCAAAACAUACAAAGGAAUUCCCAAAACAGCAUACCUGCUCUGUUGAAUUAUCUGGCUUAACAGGUCUCUCUCCUGCGCUCAGCAUUAAAAUUCAGUGGCUCAGUACAACUAAACAAACACAGAAAUCACAAAGCACUGAUCCCAGAAAACAAUAAAUAGAUCCAGUCACACAUGCAUAUUUGACACACAAAUCAUGGAAGGUAAAAGGUGAAAAAGAUAAUAAACACACAUGUUUGCUCUUCGUGCUGCCGUGCACCCUAGAUGCAGUUCAUAGUGGUUUCACUUGGGAACUAGUCUAGCUUAUUCACAUUCCAAAUCCUUGAUUCUACAAUAUCAGAAACAUCUUUUGAGGCUAAAAUUAUCGCAGUGUUUGAGCACAUACAUAUAUGUACAUACCAAAUUGUUUUUCACAUGCAGCCAGAAGACAAGCAGUCCGAAAUACCCAUAAAAAGGAACGAAGUUAAAACCAAAAUACACACACACACAAAAAUAAGCAGAGCAUACUAUCAUCCCACCCAAAAUGGGAUAUUUUAAAACCGCAUUAAGUCCGUUCUUUCGAAUUUCACUUCGUCUUUUUCUAUAUUAAAUGAUUGCACGAGGACAGAAGUAAGUAUAUAUAACAAAUUCCAAAACCCUAGAACCAAUGGCUAAUAUUAAACAUUAAAAAAAAAAUUGAAUCAAACAUAAUUACUCAAAUUAAAACAAAAAGAAAAAAGAAAAAAAUAGGUUUAAUAUCAAACCUAAACAAACAUAAAAGAACAAAUGAAUCAAAUUAGCAAAUUUAUAAAGCCAUAUAAAAUCUUAUGUACAUACCUGUAGGAACAAUUCGAUCGUGAUCGGGGAGUGGCGUGGCCAUGAAUCAGAGAUCUAAAAGCACGAGACUUGAAUCUCCGGCAAAAAAAUAAAAAUAAAAUCCUAACUCUAAAUCGAGAGAAAAAAAUUUUGAGAGGGAAAAAAGAAAUCUUGAAAAGAGAGGGAGGAAAAAAAUAAAAAAGAAAGAAAGGGUUUUUUGGGUUUUGGAUUUUUUUUUUCUCAUUUAUUUUGAGAAAAGAUAUGCGAGUUUAUUAUAUAGUAAGAGUUGGUUAAAAAUAUUAAUGUUUUUAUUUAUUAAUUUAUUUAUAGUGCAAAGUGAUUAGUUAACUAGUGGCGGUUCUGUUUUAAAUUUGAGAGAAUUUUGAGUUCAUUAAUAUAUUGAGAAUAACCAUCCCAAGUAGUGUUGUUUCCAUAACCUGAAGCCACAGAGAAUGUAAAACGUAUUACCACCCUGAUAUCCUAUGAAAGCAUAAGAGGUAGCAGAAGAAAUUGCAAGCAUUAUCAAGUUCGUUCUUUUCCAAUUUAAAAAUUAAACAAUAAUUAAUUAUGAAUACAUUAAUCAAUAUGGUCAUUCUCAUCAUGGCUUGAAAUCUUCUACUUGAAACAAAUAAGCUUGUCUACAUUUCCCAAAUGGCUCAAACAAAAAGAUUUGAAUUGUAUAUAUUUCACAUGAAGGAUUGACGCUGCCAUCAGUGAUAUUUAAGGCUUUGAAGUUAUGAACAAGUUAUAGCAGCAAAGAUUGAGAAAGUACCCACCAUAUGACAUAUUCGGAUCAUGGGAGUUGUAGGUAUUUAGUUGGUGGACAGAGCUAUAAUCUCUACUGUCAGCAGAUUCUGGCUGUUCUGUGACAUCUUUUGCUGGUCCAAUGAUGGCUGCAUCCGGAGAAGGAUUUGCUGAAACAAUCCUUUCAUCUUUGGGCGAAAGUAGC